UCCGGCCGGCGGGUGGAGGUGGUGGAGCUUGGCGAUACCGUCGUGGAGGGUGGGACUGCGGGGGUGCGGGUUGGAGUCCGGGGCGGGUCGUCGUUUGAAGUAACGGCGCCAAAUGAUGAAGAUUAGGAUGGAGAAGAGGACAAUGGAUGAGGUUAUGAGAAGGAUAUGCUCCCAAACUUGCAUUUUCUACUUGACUUGUUCACCUGUUUGAUUCUGUUGGUGGCGGAGAAAGACGAAGAAGAAGAAGAAGAAGAAGAAGAAGGAAUAAAAAGUAAAGGGAAGGAGAAAUGUCGAACCUUUAUUUACAUUUUUGUUUCUGGGUUUCCUUUUCUAAGCAAGCAUUGACGUUUUCUUCCAUAAAUGAAUUUUGUUGGUGAGUGGAAUGUCAAAACUCAAAACAGUCUUCUGUGAUUUUGUUGUUGAUUCAACGCUGGUUUUUGCAGAAGCUAAAGAGGCAGACACAGGCAGGCAUUCUUGAAUGAAAUUACUUGGAGGCACAUCUAGAAGGUGGGGGAAGACAAAGUCCAACACGACGAUUAUAAAAGGGAGCAGCAUUCUUUUUUUCAAUUGAUUUGUGAGGUCAGAGGAUUACGAUUAUGUCAAUUGUUUUAUUGCUCCUGCACUCUCAUUCCAUAUAAAUAUUUUGAUACUUUGAAGGAUUAAGGAACUAAUCAUUAUUUUAGGUGAUUAUCAUUAUCACCCACUAGAUACUAUAUUCAUAUUCUUUGUUAUGAGCAUCUCCUUAAAAUGCUUGUCCACUAGGACCCAAUCGUCGAGGCGUGUACAUUUCCCUUUGGUCCUCGCGACAUUGCCUCCGUGUUGUCUGGAGGACAUUCACGUUUGAGAUGUUCUUUCGUCGAGUAGUUGUGGGACUAAUCUUGCGGUGGAUCACGAGGCGAAGCAUCCUCAUUUCUUGCUCAAUGGUUUCCUUGCCUAUUAUAAAAUGCAACCGUC
Molecule: long non-coding RNA, 954 nt
Filed under: Linum usitatissimum (flax)
Lineage: Eukaryota; Viridiplantae; Streptophyta; Magnoliopsida; Malpighiales; Linaceae
Description: long non-coding RNA (LUSI_LNC006496)
Source: RNAcentral